GCAAACACGAAAGUGGACGUAUACGGUGUGACGCCUGCCCGGUGCUGGAAGGUUAAUUGAUGGGGUCAGCCGCAAGGCGAAGCUCCUGAUCGAAGCCCCAGUAAACGGCGGCCGUAACUAUAACGGUCCUAAGGUAGCGAAAUUCCUUGUCGGGUAAGUUCCGACCUGCACGAAUGGCGUAAUGAUGGCCAGGCUGUCUCCACCCGAGACUCAGUGAAAUUGAACUCGCUGUGAAGAUGCAGUGUACCCGCGGCAAGACGGAAAGACCCCGUGAACCUUUACUAUAGCUUGACACUGAACAUUGAGCCUUGAUGUGUAGGAUAGGUGGGAGGCUUUGAAGUGUGGACGCCAGUCUGCAUGGAGCCAACCUUGAAAUACCACCCUUUAACGUUUGAUGUUCUAACCUAGGCCCAUAAACUGGGUCGGGGACCGUGUCUGGUGGGUAGUUUGACUGGGGCGGUCUCCUCCUAAAGAGUAACGGAGGAGCACGAAGGUUGGCUAAGCAUGGUCGGACAUCAUGCGGUUAGUGCAAAGGCAUAAGCCAGCUUGACUGCGAGAGUGACGGCUCGAGCAGGUACGAAAGUAGGUCUUAGUGAUCCGGUGGUUCUGAAUGGAAGGGCCAUCGCUCAACGGAUAAAAGGUACUCCGGGGAUAACAGGCUGAUACCGCCCAAGAGUUCAUAUCGACGGCGGUGUUUGGCACCUCGAUGUCGGCUCAUCACAUCCUGGGGCUGAAGUAGGUCCCAAGGGUAUGGCUGUUCGCCAUUUAAAGUGGUACGCGAGCUGGGUUUAGAACGUCGUGAGACAGUUCGGUCCCUAUCUGCCGUGGGCGUUGGAAGAUUGAGAGGGGUUGCUCCUAGUACGAGAGGACCGGAGUGAACGCACCACUGGUGUUCGGGUUGUCAUGCCAAUGGCAUUGCCCGGUAGCUAAGUGCGGAAGAGAUAACCGCUGAAAGCAUCUAAGCGGGAAACUUGCCUCGAGAUGAGUCUUCCCUGUCGCUUUAAG
This 1005-nucleotide ribosomal RNA is filed under the name Proteus mirabilis. RNAcentral's name for it is "partial 23S ribosomal RNA". It matches the Rfam family "Bacterial large subunit ribosomal RNA", at positions 1825 to 2825 of the family's 2925-position model. Lineage: Bacteria; Pseudomonadati; Pseudomonadota; Gammaproteobacteria; Enterobacterales; Morganellaceae. The record is from RNAcentral.